RNAcentral lists this ribosomal RNA (497 nucleotides) under uncultured bacterium. RNAcentral's name for it is "partial 16S ribosomal RNA". It matches the Rfam family "Bacterial small subunit ribosomal RNA", at positions 28 to 507 of the family's 1533-position model. The record is from RNAcentral.
GAUGAACGCUGGCGGCGUGCCUAAUACAUGCAAGUCGAGCGAACGGACGAGAAGCUUGCUUCUCUGAUGUUAGCGGCGGACGGGUGAGUAACACGUGGAUAACCUACCUAUAAGACUGGGAUAACUUCGGGAAACCGGAGCUAAUACCGGAUGAUAUUUUGAACCGCAUGGUUCAAAAGUGAAAGACGGUCUUGCUGUCACUUAUAGAUGGAUCCGCGCUGCAUUAGCUAGUUGGUAAGGUAACGGCUUACCAAGGCAACGAUGCAUAGCCGACCUGAGAGGGUGAUCGGCCACAUGGGAACGGAGACACGGUCCAGAAUCCUACUGGAGGCAGCAGUAGGGAAUCUUCCGCACUGGGCGAAAGCCUGACGGAGCAACGCCGCGCGAGUGAUGAAGGUCUUCGGAUCGUAAAACUCUGUUAGUAGGGAAGAACAUAUGUGUAAGUAACUGUGCACAUCUUGACGGUACCUAAUCAGAAAGCCACGGCUAACUACGUG